UGAGGCAUGAGGACAGACUGCUAGCUUAAAAAAGGCCUGUUUUAAUACAAGUGAAUUCCUGUGCAAUCCUGGAAGCCUUCGGCAGCAGCACAGACCUUGGGUUAAUCCACAUGAAAUGCACUGAGUAUGUGGAAAUCCCUGUGACAUCUCGUGAUGAAGUGAAGGACUGAUGCCUGGUAGAUGAGCCCCACGGCUGCCGAGACAGAACUGAGACCACAGGUUCAUGAGGACAGGAAUUCACCUAUAAUGAGGUCUCAGUUCGCUUCAUGA
This 270-nucleotide long non-coding RNA is filed under the name Calidris pugnax (ruff). Its description in RNAcentral is "lncRNA (ENSCPUG00000012363.1)". Lineage: Eukaryota; Metazoa; Chordata; Aves; Charadriiformes; Scolopacidae. The record is from RNAcentral.